RNAcentral lists this ribosomal RNA (714 nucleotides) under Triticum aestivum (bread wheat). RNAcentral describes it as "partial small subunit ribosomal RNA". Lineage: Eukaryota; Viridiplantae; Streptophyta; Magnoliopsida; Poales; Poaceae. The record is from RNAcentral.
AUGCCUCCCCCACUUUGCUUUCCGCUGGAGCAACGCCGUUGCCUUGGCCUCACACAAGGAACACCGGCGGCACGCACGCCCCCCACAUAUACUCCCCCCAGCCCCCGUGCUUGCAUGUGCACAAGAAACCUCCUUUCUUCUCAGCACAGCAGGAAGGAAACCCACCCUCCUACGUGGACAAAGAUCAGAUCAAUGGGUCAGGCCGUCGCCAAGGCGAAGCAAGAGGCCGGGCGGGCAACGCAGAAGAACGACAAGGACGGCAAGGCUGUGGCCAACCGUAAUGACGCCAAGGAGCAGCUCAUCGAAUUUAUGGAUAAGAACUACGAUAAAGUCAAGCCUACGAAAACCUUCGAUGAGUUUUAUCAUGCCAUCUUCGAACUCAUCGAACAGUUUUGUGAGGAACAAGGGCAGCUGCAGUACAGGAUGCCAUCAAAAGAUAAGCUCGCGGAAGUGUACAAGGCUCUUAGGAAGCCGGAUGGAGUAAACCUCACCAAGGGUCAGUUCCACACGAUCACCGAGAACCUCGUCACGGUGCACAGCUUCAGCUUCGGCAAGGCCGCCUUCGACGUGCUCGUGGUCCUCUUUGGCGCGCCGAUGUGCGCGCUCCUCGUCAAGAGGGUCGUCCCCGGCCUCAAGUCCUUCUCCGACGACGUCGUCAUCCCGGUGGCCACCUCCGGCGCCGUCGUGUACCUGGCCAAGACCAACAAGCUGUGA